Long non-coding RNA from Microplitis demolitor, 533 nucleotides. RefSeq lists it as uncharacterized. The transcript is spliced from 3 exons. NCBI's taxonomy places the organism in Eukaryota, Metazoa, Arthropoda, Insecta, Hymenoptera, Braconidae. The record is from RefSeq and is a predicted model, not a curated record.
AAUAACUAACAGUACGUGAGAGAUAUACCGAUAGGCAUCAGCGAAAAUCUGAAGAUUUAAUCUGAUAGAAAAUGUCGAAACAAAAGUUAUUUUUAUUGUUAAUUAUAUCAGUGGCUCUCCUUGCUACUAAAACAUGGGCUGAGGAAUCUUCAGAAGAAGGAGGAAAAGAAGGAGAAAAAACUGGUGGCUGUCUUCCACGGAACGAAGAUUGCGAGGAGGAAGAAGAAUGUUGCGACGGCCUAAUGUGCAAAAAUUGGUUAAUUGGUAAGUGGUGUGAUAUUGACGAUAGGGUUGACGAUGAAUCUGAAGAAAUUAAACCUGAAGAAUCUGAACCUGAAAAUUAGAAUCCUGAGUCUGAUGGAUGCCAAUAACUUGUUGGAAAAAAUAUUUCUAACAGAAGACCAAUGAAAAAUUUUUAACUUUUUCGAGUUUUAAAAUUAUUAACAUCGAAUAUUAUUUUUUAAAAUUCAUUAUGAAAAUUGAGUAAUAAAUAUUUUGACAAUUUUCUUAUUUAUUUUAUUUUUUUCGACUUG